CAGGACAAUGAGAUCAAAUGUGUCCAAAAUCAUGUACUAGCGAAGUACUGCUGUAGAGUUUGGUUUGGUUUCUCGUUAAAUUAAACACAAACAGCUCCUUUAGGAGACAUAAUCUUGUGUCUGCUUCCCCAUAAGACAAACAUAAUUAUUACGAUGCAACUAGGUAAUAUCAAAACCACAAACACAAAGUACUGGUUUGGUUUCUCGUUAAAUUAAACACAAACAAAGCUAGCAUUGAUGGAAGUUCUCAAACCAGAUCAAUCACUACCUUAACUUAAACGAAACAAACUUAACUAAAUCAAAGCAAAGGGUUAUGAAACGAGCCAAAGUUUUAUACGAAACAAACUUAAGACACGAACACAAACUUGCAGUUUAUGAAGCAAAGCAAACAGCGAUUAUGAACACAAACAGCGAUUAUGAAGCAAAGCAAACACAGACGCGAACACAUACAGCGAUUAUGAACACAAACAGCAAUCUUUUAUAAACAUCAAAAUACCAAACAAAAGACACGAACACAAACAGCGAUUAUGAAGCAAAGCAAACACAAACACGAACCAACACUUAGAAAGUUAGAAUCGAUCUUUACCUGAGAUGUGU
Molecule: long non-coding RNA, 597 nt
Filed under: Capsella grandiflora
Lineage: Eukaryota; Viridiplantae; Streptophyta; Magnoliopsida; Brassicales; Brassicaceae
Description: long non-coding RNA (CGRA_LNC001149)
Source: RNAcentral